Molecule: ribosomal RNA, 253 nt
Filed under: uncultured bacterium
Lineage: Bacteria
Description: partial 16S ribosomal RNA
Rfam family: Bacterial small subunit ribosomal RNA
Source: RNAcentral
UACGUAGGUGGCAAGCGUUGUCCGGAUUUACUGGGCGUAAAGAGCGCGCAGGCGGUCGUGCAAGUCGCGUGUGAAAGCCCCCGGCUCAACUGGGGAGGGUCACGCGAUACUGCUCGACUCGAAGGCAGGAGAGGGAAGUGGAAUUCCGAGUGUAGCAGUGAAAUGUGUAGAUAUUCGGAAGAACACCAGUGGCGAAGGCAGCAGAUUGGGCCGGUAUUGACGCUCAGGCACGAAAGCAUGGGGAUCAAACAGG